Brassica napus (rape) is the source of this 4710-nucleotide long non-coding RNA. RefSeq lists it as uncharacterized. NCBI's taxonomy places the organism in Eukaryota, Viridiplantae, Streptophyta, Magnoliopsida, Brassicales, Brassicaceae. The transcript has 25 exons. The record is from RefSeq and is a predicted model, not a curated record.
CAAUAGUGAAUGUUUGUUUUGCCACGUCACUAUACACGUCAACAUUUUUUAAGAUUGUGGACUCCACUUUAUUUUCGGUUCUUUAGUUUUAUGAGUAAGUGAACCAAACUAUGUCGUUUUAUCACAGCCCCUCUCAGAUUAGGUUUUCAUUGUUCUCUUACUUCGACUCUUUAACCUUGCCGUCUCUGGUGUCUCUUCACCUUCAUCUCUUUUCAUAUACAUGUAUUCCUUUGGCUUCGUUCAUAUUCCUCUUAAAUUUUGGAGAUGGUUCAGAGUAUGAUAGAAUCUUCACAGACCUUCUCAGAUACUCUUCUAUCUCAAACCUAGAUACCUGCUUCGAAAAUGUCUUCAUCUUAUGUUGUUGUAGUUCAAGACCAGUCCGCCACUCAACCUUUUGAUGCUCUCCUUAAAGGCUGACUGCAGACAGAUAGUCUGACACGGCUGCUUCGAUUUUGGGCUGAUUUAUGGGAAGUCAACACUAAUAAAAGCCUCUAUCAACCUGUAAAGGUUAAACACCUUCAGAGAAAUCUUGCAAGAGAGAUCGUUUUAUGAGCAACACGAACUUCAGGGUUUAAACCAAUGUAAUUAAUGGAUGCCCUUCAAAAAAAAUGAAGAGGAGAAGUCUAAGAAUGAAAAAACCAUCCAAUUAGUUCUGUAGAUCAAGACAAAAGGCAGAUGAAUGUAUUGAGAGAUCCAGAGAAAACGUUGAUAGCUUGGAUUCUGAACCCAGUGAGAUCUAUCGGUUUGAACUUCUAAGGAAUGAAAUGAUAUAGCUGGAAGUGGGUCCAAAGAAGUGCAUAUGAGUCACUAAAUGAAGAGUGAAGUUUUGGGGAUCCUUCUACAUAAAGCAGUAACAUGAAAAGUGUGGAGUUGAUUCAGAGCUCAAAGAAAGAAAACGUCACUGAGAAAACACUCUAUCAAAUCACAGACGUGUGGUAUUCAGCUUCUUGGAUCUGAUUCAGUUGCUGCGAUGGAGCUUCUUCGAAUGUUUGUUUUGCCACGUCACUAUACACGUCAACAUUUUUUAAGAUUGUGGACUCCACUUUAUUUUCGGUUCUUUAGUUUUAUGAGUAAGUGAACCAAACUAUGUCGUUUUAUCACAGCCCCUCUCAGAUUAGGUUUUCAUUGUUCUCUUACUUCGACUCUUUAACCUUGCCGUCUCUGGUGUCUCUUCACCUUCAUCUCUUUUCAUAUACAUGUAUUCCUUUGGCUUCGUUCAUAUUCCUCUUAAAUUUUGGAGAUGGUUCAGAGUAUGAUAGAAUCUUCACAGACCUUCUCAGAUACUCUUCUAUCUCAAACCUAGAUACCUGCUUCGAAAAUGUCUUCAUCUUAUGUUGUUGUAGUUCAAGACCAGUCCGCCACUCAACCUUUUGAUGCUCUCCUUAAAGGCUGACUGCAGACAGAUAGUCUGACACGGCUGCUUCGAUUUUGGGCUGAUUUAUGGGAAGUCAACACUAAUAAAAGCCUCUAUCAACCUGUAAAGGUUAAACACCUUCAGAGAAAUCUUGCAAGAGAGAUCGUUUUAUGAGCAACACGAACUUCAGGGUUUAAACCAAUGUAAUUAAUGGAUGCCCUUCAAAAAAAAUGAAGAGGAGAAGUCUAAGAAUGAAAAAACCAUCCAAUUAGUUCUGUAGAUCAAGACAAAAGGCAGAUGAAUGUAUUGAGAGAUCCAGAGAAAACGUUGAUAGCUUGGAUUCUGAACCCAGUGAGAUCUAUCGGUUUGAACUUCUAAGGAAUGAAAUGAUAUAGCUGGAAGUGGGUCCAAAGAAGUGCAUAUGAGUCACUAAAUGAAGAGUGAAGUUUUGGGGAUCCUUCUACAUAAAGCAGUAACAUGAAAAGUGUGGAGUUGAUUCAGAGCUCAAAGAAAGAAAACGUCACUGAGAAAACACUCUAUCAAAUCACAGACGUGUGGUAUUCAGCUUCUUGGAUCUGAUUCAGUUGCUGCGAUGGAGCUUCUUCGAAUGUUUGUUUUGCCACGUCACUAUACACGUCAACAUUUUUUAAGAUUGUGGACUCCACUUUAUUUUCGGUUCUUUAGUUUUAUGAGUAAGUGAACCAAACUAUGUCGUUUUAUCACAGCCCCUCUCAGAUUAGGUUUUCAUUGUUCUCUUACUUCGACUCUUUAACCUUGCCGUCUCUGGUGUCUCUUCACCUUCAUCUCUUUUCAUAUACAUGUAUUCCUUUGGCUUCGUUCAUAUUCCUCUUAAAUUUUGGAGAUGGUUCAGAGUAUGAUAGAAUCUUCACAGACCUUCUCAGAUACUCUUCUAUCUCAAACCUAGAUACCUGCUUCGAAAAUGUCUUCAUCUUAUGUUGUUGUAGUUCAAGACCAGUCCGCCACUCAACCUUUUGAUGCUCUCCUUAAAGGCUGACUGCAGACAGAUAGUCUGACACGGCUGCUUCGAUUUUGGGCUGAUUUAUGGGAAGUCAACACUAAUAAAAGCCUCUAUCAACCUGUAAAGGUUAAACACCUUCAGAGAAAUCUUGCAAGAGAGAUCGUUUUAUGAGCAACACGAACUUCAGGGUUUAAACCAAUGUAAUUAAUGGAUGCCCUUCAAAAAAAAUGAAGAGGAGAAGUCUAAGAAUGAAAAAACCAUCCAAUUAGUUCUGUAGAUCAAGACAAAAGGCAGAUGAAUGUAUUGAGAGAUCCAGAGAAAACGUUGAUAGCUUGGAUUCUGAACCCAGUGAGAUCUAUCGGUUUGAACUUCUAAGGAAUGAAAUGAUAUAGCUGGAAGUGGGUCCAAAGAAGUGCAUAUGAGUCACUAAAUGAAGAGUGAAGUUUUGGGGAUCCUUCUACAUAAAGCAGUAACAUGAAAAGUGUGGAGUUGAUUCAGAGCUCAAAGAAAGAAAACGUCACUGAGAAAACACUCUAUCAAAUCACAGACGUGUGGUAUUCAGCUUCUUGGAUCUGAUUCAGUUGCUGCGAUGGAGCUUCUUCGAAUGUUUGUUUUGCCACGUCACUAUACACGUCAACAUUUUUUAAGAUUGUGGACUCCACUUUAUUUUCGGUUCUUUAGUUUUAUGAGUAAGUGAACCAAACUAUGUCGUUUUAUCACAGCCCCUCUCAGAUUAGGUUUUCAUUGUUCUCUUACUUCGACUCUUUAACCUUGCCGUCUCUGGUGUCUCUUCACCUUCAUCUCUUUUCAUAUACAUGUAUUCCUUUGGCUUCGUUCAUAUUCCUCUUAAAUUUUGGAGAUGGUUCAGAGUAUGAUAGAAUCUUCACAGACCUUCUCAGAUACUCUUCUAUCUCAAACCUAGAUACCUGCUUCGAAAAUGUCUUCAUCUUAUGUUGUUGUAGUUCAAGACCAGUCCGCCACUCAACCUUUUGAUGCUCUCCUUAAAGGCUGACUGCAGACAGAUAGUCUGACACGGCUGCUUCGAUUUUGGGCUGAUUUAUGGGAAGUCAACACUAAUAAAAGCCUCUAUCAACCUGUAAAGGUUAAACACCUUCAGAGAAAUCUUGCAAGAGAGAUCGUUUUAUGAGCAACACGAACUUCAGGGUUUAAACCAAUGUAAUUAAUGGAUGCCCUUCAAAAAAAAUGAAGAGGAGAAGUCUAAGAAUGAAAAAACCAUCCAAUUAGUUCUGUAGAUCAAGACAAAAGGCAGAUGAAUGUAUUGAGAGAUCCAGAGAAAACGUUGAUAGCUUGGAUUCUGAACCCAGUGAGAUCUAUCGGUUUGAACUUCUAAGGAAUGAAAUGAUAUAGCUGGAAGUGGGUCCAAAGAAGUGCAUAUGAGUCACUAAAUGAAGAGUGAAGUUUUGGGGAUCCUUCUACAUAAAGCAGUAACAUGAAAAGUGUGGAGUUGAUUCAGAGCUCAAAGAAAGAAAACGUCACUGAGAAAACACUCUAUCAAAUCACAGACGUGUGGUAUUCAGCUUCUUGGAUCUGAUUCAGUUGCUGCGAUGGAGCUUCUUCGGAGGUCUGUAAUAGGAGAUGAAUUAACAGAGAAUGAAAAGAAAUCUCUGUGCAGGAAUAUGAUUGACUUAGCAUCAGUUGUUCCCAUUGGUGUUCUUAUGAUUCUUCAUGUUACACCAGUUUGCCAUGCACCUAUACUUGCUACAAUUCAAAGAUAUGUGCCAGGCCUGCCACUAAUCCAACGUAACGGUGCCAAAUGCAAAGAUGUGGAAUCUAUGAGGAAGACAACUUUUAUAUAUGAUUCACGGCUGAGAGUAAAUACGCACAUGCAACGACAACAAAUUUAAUGCUACUUUUCUCUGCCAUGGGUGCUCACAAGUGGGGGCUGCUGAAUGCAUCUAUCGGUGGAAUUGUCAAAGCUCUAUUUGAAUCUUAGCGUGGGAUGCAGAAGGGUAAAUGAAAGAGAAUUGUACAUUGGGGAUUAGCCAAGAAAAUCAAGAUGAGGCGCAAAAACUGUUCUUAAGAGAGAUAUAUCUAAAGGCUUUAUUGGUCACAAUGGAGAGGUGGAAGAGCUUGCGUGGGUUUUUUGAUAAGCAGAAAAAGUAAUAGAGGGACAGAUGAGUUUUAUGGAAUGUUGGUGGUGAGAGGAAGAUGAACCACAGAGAAGGAUGUGUAACAACCUGCUUAUGAGUAUAUUAGUAUAGAUGAUGCUGAUGCUGACCGAGACUGAUCAUUGACUUUGGCCAUACAUAUAACCUCAUCAAAUAAUUAAUUUAAGUACAUAUAAGAGAAUUUCUAGAAGGCAAUUGUUGAUGUUGUUGCAGGAAACCAUGAUUAAUGACCAAAUGAUGUUGCACCA